GUGGCUCAUUUCGUAUCCAAAAAUAUCUGAAAGCCAGCCAAUGAAGUAUGACCUGGUCAUCCUCAGCUUCCUUCAAGAGACAAGAAAAUAUGACUGCUGCACUCCCUAAACACUCCCUGGAGUUUUAUCUGGUGUGAUCACAUCCUGUUCCCAGCAAAACCAUCUGAGCUUUACCAAACAGUGGAUGCUGGAUGUGCACGGAGAAACAAACAUUUCUGGCUUUACAGCAAACAUCCCCACCGGUCCCAGAGUGGAGUGUUUUGCAGACUUGCUCAGUGGAGAGAUGAACCAGAUCUGAAGAGCGGAGAUGCACAACUGCAUGACUGACACAUGACACAGGAGCACACACCUAGCAAACCAGACCUGUUUCAAGUUAAAUUCAUGUCCUUUUAAUUUUGCACAAUGCAAAAAAUCUGCACCUUUUGGCAAGUGCAGCAGAUACGCCACAAGCAAAGCUAUUGACCUGGGGAAGUGAACCUCAGAGACUGCUCCCAACUCUACCACCCAAUGAUCUUGAUCUGCUACAAAAUAAUGCUCUCCCACCAGAUUCCCAAGCCGAUGGGAUUCAAUACAUUACUUUUACAAUGAUGUCUUUUACAAUGUUGAAUAGUGAGUUCAGUAUGGGUGAAAGCUGCUGUGUUUACUCAUCUUAAACAAAUUUUCACAUAUGAAAAUGAGCACACAGGGAAGAAACCUGGAAGGUGGGAAAUUGAGCCUCAGUGCUACAUGUCGAAAAGCAGAUUUAGUAAUAAUAAUAAAAGAAAAAUUGAUCCA
Molecule: long non-coding RNA, 774 nt
Organism: Pipra filicauda (Wire-tailed manakin)
Lineage: Eukaryota; Metazoa; Chordata; Aves; Passeriformes; Pipridae
Exons: 2
Source: RefSeq, a predicted model, not a curated record